RNAcentral lists this long non-coding RNA (674 nucleotides) under Trifolium pratense (red clover). RNAcentral's name for it is "long non-coding RNA (TPRA_LNC012515)". The record is from RNAcentral. Lineage: Eukaryota; Viridiplantae; Streptophyta; Magnoliopsida; Fabales; Fabaceae.
UGAAGAUCAAACAAAAGAAAGAUAGAACCAGAACCAUAAGGAAUCAGUGUUCACAAAUUACCUUCCUGCAACAUCAAAGGAAAUAAAAUAUCAAGAAAAUAUGCAUUCGAAAGCGAAGGAGUUAUUGAAAACUAAAAUAUUUUAAAAGAGUAAUCAAAACUUGAGAUCUCUAGCCUUGAUCAAAGUUCAACAUUUUUUUGAUUUUGACAAACCAUGCUGCAGAACAACAGGUUCACUUCAAUUUGAGUGCAUGGUAUUCAAAGCCCAAAAAUAAAAAUAUUAAAGAACGAAUGAUCGAGGAAAUUUGAUUAUGCAUCUGUAACUAUUAUCGUUCUUAUUCAUUAUAAUCCAAAAUUGUUCGAGAUAUCCAGAAAUUAGCUCGCUGCAAAAUGGAUAAAUGGAUAUUUUGAUAUUCUUUUAUUUUCAAUAGUUUGACAAGUUAUAUCAGAAAAACUACAUGGAAACAAAAAGAAUUUACUAGAGAUCACCAAAUUAAAACUUUACGUUCCAUGUUCUUGUCCAUUUUAUCAAGGCAUUCCAUCGAAACUUCAUAGUCCACUGCAAAAUGGAUAAACACAUCUCUCGAUUAUCAAACAGAGAAUUAUAUCAAAAAAUUAUCCAAAACAAAAUAUUGAUGAGUAAAAGCACAGUCAAGAGAAGUUUGAUUGUGUGAA